GAUGAAGAACGCAGCGAAAUGCGAUACGUAAUGUGAAUUGCAAAUUCAGUGAAUCAUCGAGUCUUUGAACGCACAUUGCGCCCCCUGGUAUUCCGGGGGGCAUGCCUGUCCGAGCGUCAUUGCUGCCCUCAAGCACGGCUUGUGUGUUGGGCCCCGUCCUCCGAUCCCGGGGGACGGGCCCGAAAGGCAGCGGCGGCACCGCGUCCGGUCCUCGAGCGUAUGGGGCUUUGUCACCCGCUCUGUAGGCCCGGCCGGCGCUUGCCGAUCAACCCAAAUUUUUUAUCCAGGUUGACCUCGGAUCAGGUAGGGAGACCCGCUGAACUUAAGCAUAUCAAUAAGCGGAGGA
RNAcentral lists this unclassified non-coding RNA (346 nucleotides) under soil metagenome. RNAcentral describes it as "partial contains 5.8S ribosomal RNA, internal transcribed spacer 2, and large subunit ribosomal RNA". The stretch from base 1 to 119 matches the Rfam family "5.8S ribosomal RNA", at positions 35 to 154 of the family's 154-position model. The record is from RNAcentral.